UGGGGAAUAUUGGACAAUGGGCGAAAGCCUGAUCCAGCCAUGCCGCGUGUGUGAAGAAGGUCUUCGGAUUGUAAAGCACUUUAAGUUGGGAGGAAGGGCAUUAACCUAAUACGUUAGUGUUUUGACGUUACCGACAGAAUAAGCACCGGCUAACUCUGUGCCAGCAGCCGCGGUAAUACAGAGGGUGCAAGCGUUAAUCGGAAUUACUGGGCGUAAAGCGCGCGUAGGUGGUUUGUUAAGUUGGAUGUGAAAUCCCCGGGCUCAACCUGGGAACUGCAUUCAAAACUGACUGACUAGAGUAUGGUAGAGGGUGGUGGAAUUUCCUGUGUAGCGGUAAAAUGCGUAGAUAUAGGAAGGAACACCAGUGGCGAAGGCGACCACCUGGACUAAUACUGACACUGAGGUGCGAAAGCGUGGGGAGCAAACA
This 427-nucleotide ribosomal RNA is filed under the name uncultured bacterium. Its description in RNAcentral is "partial 16S ribosomal RNA". It matches the Rfam family "Bacterial small subunit ribosomal RNA", at positions 355 to 774 of the family's 1533-position model. The record is from RNAcentral.